This 422-nucleotide ribosomal RNA is filed under the name Flabellum tuthilli. RNAcentral's name for it is "partial 16S ribosomal RNA". It matches the Rfam family "Bacterial large subunit ribosomal RNA", at positions 2003 to 2454 of the family's 2925-position model. The record is from RNAcentral. Lineage: Eukaryota; Metazoa; Cnidaria; Anthozoa; Scleractinia; Flabellidae.
CACGAGGGUCUCACUGUCUUAAGGAAAUUUCCAGUGAAAUUGAAUUUGUAGUGAAGAUGCUACAUCCAAAUUGUUAGACAAGAAGUCCCCAUGGAACUUUACUGGAGACUUAUGUGGCUUAAAUUAAUUUAUUUCUUACAAAUAAAUAGUUUUAAAAUGUGGUGUUAACCCCUCGGAUUAACUAGGGUUAUAAAAGCUCACUCUUUUAUUUAAAGAAAGCCAACUCAAAACUUUAUGUCUUUGGGAUUUGAUAAGUGGGACAGUUUGGUUGGGGCGACCGCCUUUAAAAAAGUAACGAAGGCGGGCUUAAGAUACAUAUUUAGUGAUGUCUGACUGCCAAGGGGAGAUCCUGAGCAGACACUUACUUUUUAGGUGGGUUUAAGUGACCCGUUGACUUAGGGUGAAAUAGUUAACGAUAAACA